GAUGAACGCUGGCGGCGUGCCUAAUACAUGCAAGUCGAGCGAACGUACGAGAAGCUUGCUUCUCUGAUGUUAGCGGCGGACGGGUGAGUAACACGUGGAUAACCUACCUAUAAGACUGGGAUAACUUCGGGAAACCGUAGCUAAUACCGGAUAAUAUUUUGAACCGCAUGGUUCAAAAUUGAAAGACGGUCUUGCUGUCACUUAUAGAUGGAUCCGCGCUGCAUUAGCUAGUUGGUAAGGUAACGGCUUACCAAGGCAACGAUGCAUAGCCGACCUGAGAGGGUGAUCGGCCACACUGGAACUGAGACACGGUCCAGACUCCUACGGGAGGCAGCAGUAGGGAAUCUUCCGAAAUGGGCGAAAGCCAGACGGAGCAACGCCGCGUGAGUGAUGAAGGUCUUCGGAUCGUAAAACUCUGUUAUUAGGGAAGAACAUAUGUGUAAGUAACUGUGCACAUCUUGACGGUACCUAAUCAGAAAGACACGGCUAACUACGUG
RNAcentral lists this ribosomal RNA (497 nucleotides) under uncultured bacterium. RNAcentral's name for it is "partial 16S ribosomal RNA". It matches the Rfam family "Bacterial small subunit ribosomal RNA", at positions 28 to 507 of the family's 1533-position model. The record is from RNAcentral.